CCGAAUUUCUGUUUUGGUUGGGCAAUUCAGACUGACAUUUCCAUAAAAUUUCAAAUCAAAUUCGUCAUUUGCAAAAAAUCACACAAUUAAAAAAAGAAAAGAAAGUGAAAUUCUUCAUCUUCCCAUUUUCAGAGUUGCCUAUAUAUUCCUCACUGACCCUCCCCAUCAGCUUCUUCUUCUUCUUCUCUCUCUUUGCUUUGUGUUUUCUUCCCCUAGAAAUACACAUUCUUUGUUUUCAAUCCCUCACUCAUCUGUUAGGUAACUGAAUUUGCAUUUGGUAAUCAAAUUUGCACCAUUGAAACAACAAUACCAAGUUUUGGAGGAGGGCUUAUGUUUGAGAGGAGGUUGAACAUCGCCCUCUGUUCUUUUUUUCACGGUGCCUCCUCUCAGAUCUUUAUUUCUCUCAAGGUUUCGCAUCUGGGUUUUCCUUCAUCGGUGUUGCUGAAUUGAGAAGGAUCGGAUAUCAGUUAAUUGAAUCAAGGAGUACUUGUUUGAAUCUGUGUGUUUGUUUGAAACAUUUUUAGCGAAAGGAAAAAUGCAAUCCGAUAGUGGGAAGUUAUUCAUCGGCGGCAUAUCUUGGGACACAAAUGAAGAGCGUCUGAAAGAGUAUUUCAGUGCUUUUGGGGAGGUGGUAGAAGCAGUGAUCAUGAAGGAUCGAACCACGGGACGUGCUCGUGGAUUUGGUUUUGUAGUUUUUUCUGACCCAGCAGUUGCAGACACUGUCAUAAUGGAAAAGCACAACAUUGAUGGAAGAAUGGUGGAGGCAAAGAAGGCUGUUCCCAGGGAUGAUCAGACCACUUUGAGCAGGAACAGUGGCAGCAUCCAUGGUUCUCCGGGUCCAGGGCGCACAAGAAAAAUUUUUGUUGGAGGUUUAGCAUCUACUGUUACUGAGGGUGAUUUCAAGAAGUACUUUGAACAGUUUGGGACAAUUACAGAUGUUGUGGUAAUGUAUGAUCACAACACUCAGAGGCCGAGAGGCUUUGGAUUCAUCACUUAUGAUUCAGAGGAAGCAGUGGACAAGGUUUUGCUGAAGACAUUUCAUGAACUAAAUGGGAAGAUGGUUGAGGUCAAGCGUGCAGUUCCAAAAGAGUUAUCACCUGGUCCCAGUCGCAGUCCUCUUGGUGGUUACAAUUAUGGUCUGAGUAGGGUCAACAGCUUCCUCACUGGCUAUACCCAGGGGUAUAAUCCAAGUACUGUUGGAGGUUAUGGACUUGGUAGGUUCAGUCCGGUUGCUGGUGGUCGAAGUGGAUUUCCUCCAUUUGGUUCUGGUGGUUAUGGAAUGGGAAUGAACUUUGAGCCAGGGUUGAGCCCAAGCUAUGGAGGAAAUGCAAAUUUUAAUAAUAAUGUGAGCUAUGGACGGGGAUUGAGCCCUUACUUUAUCAAUGAUUCAAAUAGGUUUAGCAACCCCAUUGGAUAUGAAGGCGGUAAUGGAGGAAACUCAUCCUUUUUCAGUUCAGUGACUCGGAAUUUGUGGGGGAAUGGCGGUCUUAAUACAAAUUCUGCAAAUUCCAACACUUACAUGGGUUCAGGAAGUGGCAGCAUUGGAGGAAAUACAUUUGGCAAUGCUGGAGUCAAUUGGCGUUCUACGGCAAUUUCACCUCAAGGGGGAGGAAAUAAUGUCUCCAACAAUAGUGGGAAUCUUGGCUAUGGAGCUGGUGAUAACAGUUAUGGCUUGGGAACCGGAGGCUAUGGAAGAAACAGUGGUGCAGCUGUGGGCCCUACAUCUUCUUUUGCUGCAUCGAAUGGUAGUUAUGAGGCAGCCUUUGCUGACUUCUACAGUGGUGGUUCAGGGUAUGGUGAUCCUACUUGGAGAUCAUCAAAUUCCGAGCGAGAUGGGUCUGGCCCCUUUGGGUAUGGGCUUGGCAGUGCAGCUUCUGAUGUAUCAGCUAAAAGUUCUCCUGGUUAUGUUGGUGGUUAUAGUGUUAAUAAGAGACAGCCAAAUACAGGUGAUGUCCAAUAAUCUUCUGCUCCUUGAUUGGUAUUUGGUAUUCCCUUGGAUUGAAAUUGCUUCUUGAAUGUUGUCUCAGCAGAUGUUCAAGUUCUCUCAGGAAUUGCUGCUUAGGAACAUUUCUGAUAUCACGUCAUAGUAGGCGAAGAUAAUCUGGUGAAGCAGGUGAACUGUGAAUUUUGCAAACCAACGUCAUUCAUACAUCUCAGUAAAAGAAAAUUGGUUAGUAAGAGCUAACUGGGAGUACCUGUUUUGAAGGAUUAAAGUUAGAGAUAGAAGUUCUGUGUUAAUGCUUUUGUUUCGAGUUGCCCUUCUAGGCUUUUUUGUUUUGAUCUUUGAGUGAGAUGUAAAAUCAGAUUGCGGGAUAUAGUCAGAAGUGUAUCAUGCAUCUCCGGUGAGGUGGCGAUACCAAAAGAACAAAAAAAAAACAUAAAGAGAUAGACUGAUAUAUAUUUUAUUUUUUCUACUUUAGAAUUUCAUCUGUAACAUCUCUGGCGAAGUCAUGGGUUCUGGUCAGGGAAUGAUUUUCUUAUUCUUUUUUACCCCAUCAUUUGGUUUGUGAUGUACCUGAGAUUACUGUUUAUUGACUAGUGUGAACAUUUAAGGGUUACCCAGCUAGGGACCCCAUGAAUAAGUUUCGCAUAUUCAGUCUGUUAGUCGU
RNA transcript from Argentina anserina (silverweed cinquefoil), 2609 nucleotides. It is a transcript of the gene named heterogeneous nuclear ribonucleoprotein 1-like, with no coding region annotated. The transcript is spliced from 6 exons. The record is from RefSeq and is a predicted model, not a curated record. NCBI's taxonomy places the organism in Eukaryota, Viridiplantae, Streptophyta, Magnoliopsida, Rosales, Rosaceae.